This 394-nucleotide ribosomal RNA is filed under the name uncultured bacterium. Its description in RNAcentral is "partial 16S ribosomal RNA". It matches the Rfam family "Bacterial small subunit ribosomal RNA", at positions 523 to 918 of the family's 1533-position model. The record is from RNAcentral.
AUACGUAGGGGACGAGCGUUGUCCGGAAUUACUGGGCGUAAAGGGCGCGCAGGCGGAUAUUUAAGUCAGCUGUAAAAGGCAUGAGCUCAACUCAUGUAUGCGGUUGAAACUGGGUAUCUAGAGUGCUGGAGAGGUAGGCGGAAUUCCAGGUGUAGCGGUGUAAUGCGUAGAUAUCGGGAAGAACACCACUUGCGAAGGCGGCUUACUGGCCAGCAACUGACGCUGAGGCGCGAAAGCCAGGGGAGCGAACGGGAUUAGAUACCCCGGUAGUCCUGGCCGUAAACGAUGAAUGCUAGGUGUGGGUGUCGAGAGGCAUCCGUGCCGGAGUUAACGCGAUAAGCAUUCCGCCUGGGGAGUACGAUCGCAAGAUUGAAACUCAAAGGAAUUGACGGGG